Small nuclear RNA from Heterocephalus glaber (naked mole-rat), 107 nucleotides. The record is from Ensembl. Lineage: Eukaryota; Metazoa; Chordata; Mammalia; Rodentia; Bathyergidae.
GUGCUUGCUUUGGCAGCCCAUGUACUAAAAUUGGAGCAAUACAGAGACAAUUAGCAUUUCCCCUAUGCAAGGAUGAUGCGCAAAUUCAUGAAGCAUAAUGUAUUUUU